GACGAACGCUGGCGGCGUGCUUAACACAUGCAAGUCGAACGGAAAGGCCCUGCUUUUGUGGGGUGCUCGAGUGGCGAACGGGUGAGUAACACGUGAGUAACCUGCCCUUGACUUUGGGAUAACUUCAGGAAACUGGGGCUAAUACCGGAUAGGAGCUCCUGCUGCAUGGUGGGGGUUGGAAAGUUUCGGCGGUUGGGGAUGGACUCGCGGCUUAUCAGCUUGUUUGUGGGGUAGUGGCUUACCAAGGCUUUGACGGGUAGCCGGCCUGAGAGGGUGACCGGCCACAUGGGGACUGAGAUAGGGAGCAGACGCCUACGGGAGGCAGCAGUGGGGAAUAUUGCACAAUGGGCGGAAGCCUGAUGCAGAAACGCCGCGUGCGGGAUGACGGCCUUCGGGUUGUAAACCGCUUUCGCCUGUGACGAAGCGUGAGUGACGGUAAUGGGUAAAGAAGCACCGGCUAACUACGUG
RNAcentral lists this ribosomal RNA (468 nucleotides) under uncultured bacterium. RNAcentral describes it as "partial 16S ribosomal RNA". It matches the Rfam family "Bacterial small subunit ribosomal RNA", at positions 28 to 507 of the family's 1533-position model. The record is from RNAcentral.